Molecule: ribosomal RNA, 465 nt
Filed under: uncultured bacterium
Lineage: Bacteria
Description: partial 16S ribosomal RNA
Rfam family: Bacterial small subunit ribosomal RNA
Source: RNAcentral
CCUACUGGUGGCAUCAUUGGGGCAUCUUGCGCAAUGGGCGAAAGCCUGACGCAGCGACGCCGCGUGAGGGAUGAAGGUCUUCGGAUCGUAAACCUCUGUCAGCAGGUCCGCCCGGUCCCUGUGCUCCUCAGCAGUGAAUUGACGGUACCUGCAAAGGAAGCACCGGCUAACUCCGUGCCCGCCGCCGCGGUACUCCGGAGGGUGCGCGCGUUCCUCGGCAUGACUGGGCGUCACGCGCUCGUAGUCGGUAGUUCAAGUCAAGGGUGAACUCCCCGCGCUCAACGUGGGAACUGCCUUUGAAACUGGCAAACUGGAGUGUGUGAGAGGAUAGUGGAAUUCCAGGUGUAGGAGUGAAAUCCGUAGAUAUCUGGAGGAACAUCAGUGGCGAAGGCGACUAUCUGGCACAUAACUGACGCUGAGGAGCGAAAGCGUGGGUAGCAAACAGGAUUAGAGACCCUGGUAGUC